CUCUGGGCUGGAGCGAGGCUUUCCUUAGAGAAGCCAGUCCCCUUCCCCUUGCCCCCGCACUGCUGUCCCCCUGGGCCACGCUGCCCCCACAGCCUCUGCCUGCUGUGUGGAGGCAACGAGGGGCGGCCUGCUGCUGGUGGAGGCCGGGGGAGCGGCUGCUCUGGCUAGGAGUGGGACAAUUAAUGUCCUCCGUCAGGGCGGCAAGUCUCCAGACUUUGAGAAACAUCCCGGGGUUGGGCCGUGCCUGCCUGUUCCUGCAGUGGCUGAAAUACAGCCUUAUCCUGAGGGAAAUGGCGGUGAGAGGCGGCUGCCGGCUGGGAAAGGGGGGAGGCCUUGUGGCUGCGGAGAGCAGGAGCUGCUGCCGGCUGCUGUGGUGCGAAACGAAGAAGCACUUGUGUCCUAACUUCUUCAGGAGCUUAAAAAGACCUUCCUCUUGCUUCAGAGAUAAGUCGUGCUUUUUAAAGCUCUGUGCUUGCCCUCUUAAACUAAUGUGA
RNAcentral lists this long non-coding RNA (494 nucleotides) under Anser brachyrhynchus (Pink-footed goose). RNAcentral's name for it is "lncRNA (ENSABRG00000019710.1)". The record is from RNAcentral. Lineage: Eukaryota; Metazoa; Chordata; Aves; Anseriformes; Anatidae.